CACGGCCUGUGGUAUACAUAUCCGACUUGAUGGUGGGCGUUACAAGGUCAGCGGGGGUCCGGGAUGUAACCGUUGCCGCUCCAGCUCCAGCCCCAGCUCCAGCUACAGUUCCUGUUCCUGUUCCUGUAGUUGCAGUUCCUGGGACAGAAACCAUGUUUCCUAGCCAAAUGUUUUUGUGCGGAAUUAGCUGGAUGGAGCUGUAUCUAACCCGAUGUGAGGGGGAUUAAGGUAUAUAUGAAUGAGCUGCGUACCUGCGCCUCCGCGGCCGGUGGAUAUUCGUUUUUGGUCAGUCAUUUUGUUCGGGAUCGGUCUUUUAGCGGUAGAUCCUGGAGAUAUUAGCACAGGACAGGACGACGGCAACGGUAUUUCAUCAGGGUGGAGCGGGGCAGGGUGAGGCCCUGGUGGAAAAUGCUGCGUAACAAGGUUUGGCACAUGCAAGAAAAAACAUUUCGUGAAAACAUCACAUCACAUGUACUAUAUGAAGGCAUGCUGGGAGUAAGUAGGAGCAAUGGAGGCGGGGGAAAGGCAUCUGUCGUUUGUCUUAUCUUCCCUCGGAUGAAAAUAGGAUGUAC
Molecule: small RNA, 572 nt
Filed under: Histoplasma capsulatum var. duboisii H88
Lineage: Eukaryota; Fungi; Ascomycota; Eurotiomycetes; Onygenales; Ajellomycetaceae
Description: Histoplasma capsulatum H88 hypothetical RNA
Source: RNAcentral